UGUCUCGGGCCUACUUCUCAGUCCUAACUCAAAUUUCGCCUUUUACUAAAUUUGACGGGUGAAGUGGGCACUCAAUGAGAAUUUAACAAUUUUUUUCAAGCCUGCCGAAAGGUGGGCU
This 118-nucleotide small nuclear RNA is filed under the name Orchesella cincta. RNAcentral's name for it is "U5 spliceosomal RNA". It matches the Rfam family "U5 spliceosomal RNA". Rfam says of the family: U5 RNA is a component of both types of known spliceosome. The precise function of this molecule is unknown, though it is known that the 5' loop is required for splice site selection and p220 binding, and that both the 3' stem-loop and the Sm site are important for Sm protein binding and cap methylation. The record is from Rfam by way of RNAcentral. Lineage: Eukaryota; Metazoa; Arthropoda; Collembola; Entomobryomorpha; Orchesellidae.